CAGUAGCCGCGGUAAUACGGAGGGUGCAAGCGUUAUCCGGAUUUAUUGGGUUUAAAGGGUCCGUAGGCGGACUUAUAAGUCAGUGGUGAAAGCCUGUCGCUUAACGAUAGAACUGCCAUUGAUACUGUAAGUCUUGAGUAUAUUUGAGGUAGCUGGAAUAAGUAGUGUAGCGGUGAAAUGCAUAGAUAUUACUUAGAACACCAAUUGCGAAGGCAGGUUACCAAGAUAUAACUGACGCUGAGGGACGAAAGCGUGGGUAGCGAACAGGAUUAGAUACCCGAGUAGUCCCUGUCUCUUAUAC
Molecule: ribosomal RNA, 301 nt
Filed under: uncultured bacterium
Lineage: Bacteria
Description: partial 16S ribosomal RNA
Rfam family: Bacterial small subunit ribosomal RNA
Source: RNAcentral